AGUGAACGCUGGCGGUAGGCUUAACACAUGCAAGUCGAACGGCAGCACAGUAAGUGCUUGCUCUUACGGGUGGGGAGUGGUGGACGGGAGAGGAAUACAUCGGAAUCUACUUUUUCGUGAGGGAUAACGUAGGGAAACUUACGCUAAUACCGCAUACGACCUACGGGUGAAAGCAGGGGAUAUUCGGACCUUGCGCGUUUGAAUGAGCCGAUGUCGGAUUAGCUAGUUGGCGGGGUAAAGGCCCACCAAGGCGACGAUCCGUAGCUGGUCUGAGAGGAUGGUCAGCCACACGGGAACUGAGACACGGUCCAGACUCCUACGGGAGGCAGCAGUGGGGAAUAUUGGGCAAUGGGCGCAAGCCUGGCCCAGCCAUACCGCGUGGGUGAAGAAGGCCUUCGGGUUGUAAAGCCCUUUUGUUGGGAAAGAAAAGCAGCAGGUUAAUACCCCGCUGUUCUGACGGUACCCAAAGAAUAAGCACCGGCUAACUACGUG
RNAcentral lists this ribosomal RNA (492 nucleotides) under uncultured bacterium. Its description in RNAcentral is "partial 16S ribosomal RNA". It matches the Rfam family "Bacterial small subunit ribosomal RNA", at positions 29 to 507 of the family's 1533-position model. The record is from RNAcentral.